This 2468-nucleotide long non-coding RNA is filed under the name Anas platyrhynchos platyrhynchos (common mallard). RNAcentral's name for it is "lncRNA (ENSAPLG00000024105.1)". Lineage: Eukaryota; Metazoa; Chordata; Aves; Anseriformes; Anatidae. The record is from RNAcentral.
UGAUUUUUAUGUCUUCUGGUUGUCUGCUUUUUGCCAAAAGGAUGCAAUGCCAUGAGCCCACAGCCCCAGUGCACCAGCACAGCAGCAGGGAGAGAGUUUGGUUUGGGGUUUUGCUAAGUGGAAAGGAUGGGGCAGGUUGUUUCAUGGGGUGUUUUAGGGAAGAAAGGAAAGAGAUGAGAAGAGGGGAGAGGAGAAGCAGCCUGCAAACACCCAGGGACACCUCAGCAACGCAGGGCAUGAAGGAAACACCCAGCACACGCCUUCAGCCCAGCCCUGCUGCAGAGACAGGCACAAGCAGCGAGUGGCACUCGGCUGCUGGCCACGGGGACGAGCCCUGGCUCACAGCACCCAAGGGAGCAGCUCGGUGUGAAGCACCUCGCACCCAGCACCUCGCACCCGAGCCAGCAUCACCCUCGCAAUCGGGCUGCCGGAGUCUUUUAAGGCUGACUUUGUAGCAGCCCGCUUUACACGGGAUCAAAUACUGCCUGUGCGUGCCGCACGGUGAGGCGCAGCUCGCCCACGCUGACGCCAAGCUGGGGCUCAGCGGGGAGGGAGCCACACUCGCGCCCAGCCCAGAGCUGCACAAUAUUGAACAAAUCUGCAAGAAUGACAAGGGGAGCAAGAUGCCAUCCCCAGGGGAAGAGGAGGGGCAGCGGCAGAGCUCUGCAAGCUUUCCCAACACGUGUUUGUAAAGAGCACCCAGGGAAGCCAGCAGGGAAGCUCCAGCCCCGAGCCAGCAGCUCCGUCGCGAGGAGCUUCUGUGCUCGCACGCGAAUUUCUCAUGCGAUGGGGCAGCGAUGCCAGCGGCACUGCACCAGGCCCUGCUUGGCCUGCUGGAAAGCAGCAUGAGGAGCAAACGAUCCGCGGAGACAGCCCGGCAUUCGCACCACUCGCUCCAGUAACCGCGAGCUGGAUCCCGCACGUCCCCUCCAGCACCCUGCUGUCUCCCAGGCACGGAGCCCUUUCGGGGCUCAUUGACUUCUUUUUCCUGAUCUCGUCCCGCCUGUGUGCACGAUGAUGCAGCCAUCCCUCUUGCGUAGGGCAUGGAAGAGACAUUCAGGCUUGGGCUAUUAAUUAAAACCCGGUAAUGCUAAUUUUACUGCCAACUUGGAAGGUCCUUCCUGCAUUUUAUUAGGUAAUUGCCACUUGUAAGGGGUUUAAAUUGAUGUCUUUAUUAGGCGGUGCAGUACAGGGUGGCUGUAAUGAUGGCUGAAAUCAUCUCCUGUGAACGUGCAGCCAGACGUCGCUCCAGCCCGGGCCCCUGAGCUGAAUGGGGAAUUGCAGCCACGCCGCAGACACCGAGCCCAGCCACAGACAUCCCAAAACGGACACCUCCCGGCUGCCUGAAUCAGGAUCAAUGGCCUGUACCUACACGGAGAGAAUGGGGAAAAACAAAGGGCAGCAGGGAGUGCCUGCUGAUCCCCCCAAAACCUUGCAUUCCCACCGCCUUUCUGUUUUCUCGCUGUAUGUGUCAGCCAGCGCAGAGAAGCCAGGCACCUGCACUGCUGAGUCAUUCCUAGCCUGAAAAGGAGUUGGUGCACUUUCCAGAAGCCAUUUCCUCCUUCAGGGGUCUGAUUUAUGUCAAUCCACAUCAUUCUAAUAUUGCGUUGUAGGGACAACAUAUUUUUUCCCGGCAAACCCUUACAGGAGUCCCUCGUGACGUGCUCACCACUGAAGCACCCAAGCAGCUUCCAGCCACAACCUAGAUGUGAAGCAGCAUGUUCGGUCUGGUUUUCUCAUCUUCCUGCAUUUAAGCGGGGCUUUGCUUUUACUUCAGUGCCUGACGGAAGGCGGGCACCCAGCUGAUGCUCUGCUAGGACCAUCUCAAGGGCUACAGCAAAGCGAGACGUUCACAGCAUAUCGCUGCCAGGAGAAGCACGAAACCCCACCAGCAACAGCCACAAAGCCCCAAUUUCUGUCCUCCCAGGACCCCAGUUUCCUGCUCCUUUUUUCCCCAGCCCUCUGGCUGUAGCAGGACACAAAGAAAAGCAGCCCCAGGGCGUCCCCGUGCCACCCAGCAGGGGACACACCACGGCCACGGGUGGACACGCGCACGAUGAACACAGGGCAAAGGAGCCAGGCUGGACCCGAGCACGGUGUUUCCCUGGCAGGAAGGGGACCCCCACGUCGGCAGCACCCAGCUCCUCCAAAAUGAGCAGUGCUGGGAGCUCCAGCAUCAAAGCACAGCCAGCUCGGCGCUCCUCAGCCCCGCGUCCUCCUCGCCUCCCCGUGCCCCUGAGAGGAGUCUCUCCCAUCUGAUCUCUCCAUGUGCUGACUUCCUUUGGCACCCUCUCACCCACCCUUUCUUUCUCUGCUUCCCCAUUUCUUUGUUCCCUCACCUGUGCUUCCCUUCACAAAGAUUAAAGCAAAGGAUUUUUUUUUUUUUUUCCUUCUCCUCCUGUGCCAGAGCACUGGCAGACUGGAAUCACCGGCCUGUGCUCUUCCAGGAAUAAAACCAUAGCAAGCCC